GUUUCUGUAGCGUAUUGGUUAUCACGUUCGCCUGACACGCGAAGGGUCCUCGGUUCGAGACCGAGCAGAAACA
This is a non-coding RNA of Triplophysa dalaica, 73 nucleotides long. Lineage: Eukaryota; Metazoa; Chordata; Actinopteri; Cypriniformes; Nemacheilidae. The record is from the annotation of a RefSeq genome assembly.